This 448-nucleotide ribosomal RNA is filed under the name uncultured bacterium. RNAcentral describes it as "bacterial SSU rRNA". It matches the Rfam family "Bacterial small subunit ribosomal RNA", at positions 355 to 825 of the family's 1533-position model. The record is from RNAcentral.
UCGGGAAUUUUGGGGCAAUGGGCGAAAGCCUGACCCAGCAACGCCGCGUGAAGGAUGAAGUAUUUCGGUAUGUAAACUUCGAAAGAAUAGGAAGAAUAAAUGACGGUACUAUUUAUAAGGUCCGGCUAACUACGUGCCAGCAGCCGCGGUAAUACGUAGGGACCAAGCGUUGUUCGGAUUUACUGGGCGUAAAGGGCGCGUAGGCGGCAAUUCAAGUCAUCUGUGAAAUCUCCGGGCUUAACUCGGAACGGUCAGAUGAUACUGCUUUGCUAGAGUGCAGAAGGGGCAAUCGGAAUUCUUGGUGUAGCGGUGAAAUGCGUAGAUAUCAAGAGGAACACCUGAGGCGAAGGCGACUUGCUGGACUUGUAGUGACGCUGAGACGCGAAAGCGUGGGGAGCAAACAGGAUUAGAUACCCCCGUAGUCCCUGAGCGGGCUGGCAAGGCGCAU